GAUGAACGCUGGCGGCGUGCUUAACACAUGCAAGUCGAACGAUGAAGCCCAGCUUGCUGGGUGGGUUAGUGGCGAACGGGUGAGUAACACGUGAGUAUCCUGCCCUUUACUCUGGGAUAAGCCUGCGAAACUGGGUCUAAUACCGGAUAGGAGCGUCCACCGCAUGGGGGGUGUUGGAAAGAUUUAUCGGUUUUGGAUGGACUCGCGGCCUAUCAGCUUGUUGGUGUGGUAAUGGCUCACCAAGGCGACGACGGGUAGCCGGCCUGAGAGGGUGACCGGCCACACUGGGACUGAGACACGGCCCAGACUCCUACGGGAGGCAGCAGUGGGGAAUAUUGCACAAUGGGCGCAAGCCUGAUGCAGCGACGCCGCGUGAGGGAUGACGGCCUUCGGGUUGUAAACCUCUUUCAGUAGGGAAGAAGCGAAAGUGACGGUACCUGCAGAAGAAGCACCGGCUAACUACGUG
Molecule: ribosomal RNA, 466 nt
Filed under: uncultured bacterium
Lineage: Bacteria
Description: partial 16S ribosomal RNA
Rfam family: Bacterial small subunit ribosomal RNA
Source: RNAcentral